CAGUUGUCAGCUGACUAAACAAAAAUAAAAUCCCGCGUUUCAGUGAGUCGCAUUUUUUGUUAAUUGGACAUAUGUGAAGUUUUUAAUCUGUAAAUUUGUUAAUAGUAGUUAAAAAUUAGUUAAAACGUAAUAUAACAUGUCUUCUACUCGUGAGAUUGUCACAUUACAAUUCGGCAACUAUGCAAACUAUAUUGGAGCGCAUUGGUGGAAUAUACAGGAAUCCAGCUUUAGUUACAAUCCUGAAGACGCGCCUUCAGAAAUUUCUCAUGACGUAUUGUACAGAGAAGGUGUCAAUUUAAAUAGGCAGGUAACAUAUACACCUCGUCUAUUGCUUGUUGAUUUAGAUGGGUCCCUGAAGCAUCUGCCGCGUGAAGGUGAGCUGUACGGAAACAGUAUAAAACGUACAAAUGAAAGCAUAGAAUCGACUGACGAUGUCAAGAAAAUUAAAGAGGAGCUUCAAAAUCUGUCCGCAGAUGUGGAAGUAGUAGAGCAACCACAUGCUAGUAAACAUGAUUUCCAAAAAGAUCUCGAAGACCCUGUAAUCGAUAUACAAGAGAAAAAUUAUAAUUUGGCUGAUAAUGUUGAUACAUGGACGGAUUACCUUUAUGCCCGGUAUCACCCACGAACUGUAAAUAUAGUUAACGAUUAUAAACAUAGUACAGAGAAGCAAACUUUCGAUACCUACGCAUGUGGUGUACAACUUUGGCAAACUGAGCAAUUCGAAGAUGAAUUCUGUGAUAAAAUACGACAAUAUGUUGAAGAGUGCGACUUUCUGCAAGGCUUUCAAACAUUGUUUGACUGCUUUAAUGGUUACUCAGGCUUGGCCACCGCAUGCAUGGAAUACCUCAAUGACGAAUAUGGAAAAGCAAAUUUUGCUAUACCAGUCUAUUCACCACGUAAUACGCCAUUUGAAAAUGCAGAUGAACCCAUGUCGGACUCUAUACGUGUCGUUAAUAGCGCAUUGGCGUUCCACAAGUUAAGCGAACAAGCUUCACUGUUUGUACCGCUCAGCACAAGCGAUCGUGUGUGGCGGCAAUUGGGUGCAGCGCGUCAACUGCGCUCACUUACUUACCAGCCAGAUAAUUUGUAUCAGACAUCUGCUGUACUCGCAGCAUACUUGGAUACAAUUUCGUUGCGGUAUCGGCUGCGCAAUGCGCCUAGUGCUUACUCGCUUGCUGGUUUCUGUGGUGAUUUAAAUAAUUACGGCCGCAAAUUGGCGGGCGCCGCUUUUGCACUGCCAUUCCCUAUGCAACACAAACAAGAUCUUAUUGAUUGCUUGGAUCAAUUUGAAGGGCCAAUUUUCACAUCACUCACACCCAACUGCAACAUUGGCACCGAUUAUGUAAUACAAACAUUGUGUGUACGCGGUAUAACACGCGAUCGCCUAAAACAGCCUUUGGAGAAAGCUAAAGAACAAAUGCGCAUGGCCGCAUAUAAAUGUGAUAGCGUCUCUGAAAUGUUCCAAUUGUACUUGCAAUGUGCCAAUCAUGCGAGUAUGUCACAUGUGGCAUCGGUGUCAAUGGCUAUGCCAACGCGUAUACCAUUUCCAAGUGAAAUGUUUGCCGAAGAAAUGACAAAAUUGGGUUUUCUCUCGCCAACCACAAAAAGGCAACCAGAAGAGAAAGUUGUAUCUGUGCCUACGUUAGCCGCUGCGCAGUCAUCUAGCGAGUUGGGUGAUACGCUAGAAACGCUGCAUCGCGAGGCUAAACGUGUGAAAAUAGCCAAACUGCACCGUUAUAAAGCAGCUGGCUUGGAGGAAGAUGAUUAUGUCGACGCGCUCGAGCAGCUGUUGCUGUUCAAAGACAAUUACGAAGAUAACUUUGAGUUGUAGACAAAAGUGAAAACGCGAAAUAUUUAUACUCGUAAAAUAGUAAUUAGUGUGGUUAAGAACACGCGAAUACGAAAUACUUUAACAUAUAAUGCAUGAAUAUGUGACUAAGCUAAAUAGAAUUACACUCAUAGCAGAGUCAAGACACAUAUUUUAUACAACUUUGAUGAACCAUCAUUGAAGCAUCACUCUAAAAAUAAUCUAAACUACAAUAUAUUUCACUUUAAAGUUUGCUGGGUUGUUUAACUUCAAAGGCCGCCAAGCAACUCUUCGCUAAUUACAUACUACAUAU
RNA transcript from Bactrocera dorsalis (oriental fruit fly), 2120 nucleotides. It is a transcript of the gene named protein misato, with no coding region annotated. The record is from RefSeq and is a predicted model, not a curated record. NCBI's taxonomy places the organism in Eukaryota, Metazoa, Arthropoda, Insecta, Diptera, Tephritidae. The transcript is spliced from 6 exons.